This 527-nucleotide ribosomal RNA is filed under the name uncultured Bacillota bacterium. Its description in RNAcentral is "bacterial SSU rRNA". It matches the Rfam family "Bacterial small subunit ribosomal RNA", at positions 8 to 572 of the family's 1533-position model. Lineage: Bacteria; Bacillati; Bacillota. The record is from RNAcentral.
AGAGUUUGAUCCUGGCUCAGGAUGAACGCUGGCGGCGUGCCUAACACAUGCAAGUCGAGCAACCCUUCGGGGUGAGCGGCGGACGGGUGAGUAACGCGUGGGUAACCUGCCCUGUACACAGGAUAACAUACCGAAAGGUAUGCUAAUACGAGAUAAUAUAUUUUAAUCGCAUGGUUAAGAAUCAAAGCUCCGGCGGUACAGGAUGGACCCGCGUCUGAUUAGCUAGUUGGUGAGGUAAUGCUCACCAAGGCGACGAUCAGUAGCCGACCUGAGAGGGUGAUCGGCCACACUGGAACUGAGCACGGUCCAGACUCCUACGGGAGGCAGCAGUGGGGAAUAUUGCACAAUGGGCGAAAGCCUAUGCAGCAACGCCGCGUGAGCGAUGAAGGCCUUCGGGUCGUAAAGCUCUGUCCUCAAGGAGAUAAUGACGGUACUUGAGGAGGAAGCCCCGGCUAACUACGUGCCAGCAGCCGCGGUAAUCGUAGGGGGCUAGCGUUAUCCGGAAUUACUGGGCGUAAAGGGUGCGU